Molecule: small nuclear RNA, 106 nt
Organism: Apodemus sylvaticus (European woodmouse)
Lineage: Eukaryota; Metazoa; Chordata; Mammalia; Rodentia; Muridae
Source: RefSeq, a predicted model, not a curated record
UUUGAAAACAGAGAAGUUAAUAUAUAAUCUAAUUUACUUAUAUACAGAGAUUAGCAUGGCCCUGAACAAAGAUGACAUGCAAAUUCAUGAGGUGUUUCAUAUUUUU